CCAAAACUUAGCUGCUCCAGUUCAGGCUGGUUGCACGCUUCAACCCUUUGUGAACCAAAAACCUUACGCUUCGGCAGCUGGUUCCAGCUGUAAGCCUGCCGAUGGCACCCAUUUAAACCUGUCGUUAAAUAUUUGUCUGAACUAAAUAUUUUCGAAUGAAAAUUA
RNAcentral lists this unclassified non-coding RNA (165 nucleotides) under soil metagenome. RNAcentral's name for it is "partial internal transcribed spacer 1". The record is from RNAcentral.